GGGGACAUGGCUCAGCAGUUGAGAGCACUGGCUGUUCUUCCACAGGACCUGGGUUCAAUUCCCAGCAUCCACA
Molecule: non-coding RNA, 73 nt
Organism: Mesocricetus auratus (golden hamster)
Lineage: Eukaryota; Metazoa; Chordata; Mammalia; Rodentia; Cricetidae
Source: Rfam